GCCUAGGUGGCUCAGUCGGUUAGGUGUCUGACUUUGGCUCAGGUCAUGAUCUCACAGUUUGUGGUGUGGGUUCGAGCCCCACAUUGGGUU
This 90-nucleotide transfer RNA is filed under the name Felis catus (domestic cat). It matches the Rfam family "tRNA". From Rfam's summary of the family: Transfer RNA (tRNA) molecules are approximately 80 nucleotides in length. The record is from Rfam by way of RNAcentral. Lineage: Eukaryota; Metazoa; Chordata; Mammalia; Carnivora; Felidae.